Molecule: long non-coding RNA, 792 nt
Organism: Neocloeon triangulifer
Lineage: Eukaryota; Metazoa; Arthropoda; Insecta; Ephemeroptera; Baetidae
Exons: 5
Source: RefSeq, a predicted model, not a curated record
CUUGCCGCAGGGCGAAAAACUCGCAUUUUCCAUAAUUUUUCACACUUCCUUCGCCACCUUCCGCAGAAGGCUGUUUGUUGUUUUCAUUUUAAAGGGGCGGGGCACGGCCAUCGGCAGGUUACCAUCCUGACAGGUAGGCAACGAUGUCGAGCCGGUUGCCUACUUGCACGUUCCUCUUUCAGUUCUUUGCCGGUUGUCGACAAGUAGUGGCAUUGAUCACUUAUGUAGCGCGUUGUUUUUUACGGAAUUUCGUAGAAAUUUUGAAUGGGAUUUUCCAGUCUAGUGUCUUUGGUGAAGCUUAGGACUUCGGCAAACCGUCGCUUUGUGCUGUCAGACCUGGACCUGCACGACCGACAAAAAAGCAACUACGAUUGAGGGCGAACAGCUCCCUGAGGAUGAUGCUGAAACAGGGCACAACCACCGUCUGUCGCUCCUUCUUCGCCUUGGCGGCUGCGGCGGCCAUCGUCGUCUUGUAGAACUCGUCGUCCUUCGACAACCGACGCAGAUCGUCCAGCUCCACCGACUGCCCUUCCGACAGCUGCCCAACAAAAAGCUCGAGACUUCGAGAACCAUUCCUCAACGUCUGGAGCAUAUGAGAAGCAAUAUGUCGGCAGAGGUUGACCCUCCAAACGUCGCGUUCAAGCGCUGCAUCCACGCUGGCUUUUCAAAGACAUUUUAUUUGCGCACUGGGCCGUGGGUGGAUUUUUCUCCGAAGCGAAACCUACCAUAAUAGAACAGGCAUGACGUCUGGUUGAUCCAUUCAGCUAAAAAAAUGAGAUAAAAUAAAAUUGG